RNAcentral lists this ribosomal RNA (253 nucleotides) under uncultured bacterium. Its description in RNAcentral is "partial 16S ribosomal RNA". It matches the Rfam family "Bacterial small subunit ribosomal RNA", at positions 524 to 776 of the family's 1533-position model. The record is from RNAcentral.
UACGUAGGGCGCAAGCGUUGUCCGGAAUUAUUGGGCGUAAAGAGCUCGUAGGCGGCUCGUUGCGUCAACCGUGAAAACCCGGGGCUUAACUUCGGGCUUGCGGUUGAUACGGGCGGGCUGGAGUUCGGUAGGGGAGACUGGAAUUCCUGGUGUAGCGGUGAAAUGCGCAGAUAUCAGGAGGAACACCGGUGGCGAAGGCGGGUCUCUGGGCCGAUACUGACGCUGAGGAGCGAAAGCGUGGGGAGCGAACAGG